AGGGAAUCUUCCGCAAUGGACGCAAGUCUGACGGAGCAACGCCGCGUGAGCGAUGAAGGUCUUCGGAUCGUAAAGCUCUGUUGUAAGGGAAGAACAAGUACCAUUCGAAUAGGGUGGUACCUUGACGGUACCUUACCAGAAAGCCACGGCUAACUACGUGCCAGCAGCCGCGGUAAUACGUAGGUGGCAAGCGUUGUCCGGAAUUAUUGGGCGUAAAGCGCGCGCAGGCGGUCUUUUAAGUCUGAUGUGAAAGCCCCCGGCUCAACCGGGGAGGGUCAUUGGAAACUGGGAGACUUGAGUGCAGAAGAGAAGAGUGGAAUUCCACGUGUAGCGGUGAAAUGCGUAGAGAUGUGGAGGAACACCAGUGGCGAAGGCGACUCUUUGGUCUGUAACUGACGCUGAGGCGCGAAAGCGUGGGGAGCAAAC
This 426-nucleotide ribosomal RNA is filed under the name uncultured bacterium. Its description in RNAcentral is "bacterial SSU rRNA". It matches the Rfam family "Bacterial small subunit ribosomal RNA", at positions 356 to 773 of the family's 1533-position model. The record is from RNAcentral.